This is a small nuclear RNA of Oryctolagus cuniculus (rabbit), 103 nucleotides long. The record is from Ensembl. Lineage: Eukaryota; Metazoa; Chordata; Mammalia; Lagomorpha; Leporidae.
GUGCUCACUUUGGCAGCACAUAUCGUAAAACUGGAACGAUACAGAGAUUAGCAUGGCCCCAUACAAGUAUGAUAUGCAAAUUCAUGAAGCAUUCCAGGUUUUU